AGGGGUUCCUAAAGUUGGAAAAUGAUUUGGAAGGAGAGGCCGAGAAGUGUUUGCAAGAGCUUGUCGAUAGAUGUCUAGUCCUCGUCUGCAAGAAAAGUCUAGAUGGAACAAAAAUUAGAUCAUGUAAAGUUCAUGAUCUAAUAUAUGACCUGUGCUUGAGAGAAGUUCAAAGGGGAAAUGUUUUUAUCAUGAACGACAUUUUCCUUGACGUAUCAGAUUCAGAAUGUCGAUAUCUCAGUAUGAAAAAAAUGCAACCCUUUAAACGCGUAACUAGUGAUGAAAUUUAUUAUUGUUCCUUUGGUCUUUAUAGAGCUCUUCUUACCCCUGUACAUCGUCAGUUGAGAGAUCAUGACAACAACGAUCUUUUGAAACGAACCCGUUCUAUUUUCUCUUUUCAACUUAUGGAGUCAUUGUUUAUUCUCCAAUCAAAGCUUAUUCAUUUCAAAUUACUCAAAGUCUUGGAGUUGAGACACAGAGAGAUUGAUAAUUUCCCUCUACAGAUACUAAGCCUCAUCUGGUUGAGGUUCCUAUCAUUGCUCUGCCGUGAGAAUUUAGACAUACCUCCAGAAAUUUGUAGGUUAUGGAAUCUGCAGACAUUCAUUGUUCAAGUGCCCAGAUUUGAUGGACCAGUUAAAAUAACUUUUCCUGAGGAAAUUUGGGGACUAAUGCAAUUAAGCAUCUCAAACUGCCCAUAUUUUAUUUGCCAGAUUGCCCGAGUGGAUCUGUUGACAAAGGAAGGCCUUUGAAUAUUUCAAACAUACAAACUAUUUCUUACUUGUCUCCACGUUGUUGCACGAAGGAGGUUAUUAUGGGGAUUCAGAAUGUCAAAGAAUUAGGAAUCUGUGCAUAUGGGAUUGACUCUGAUGGGCUUCGCAACAAUCUUGUCCAUCUGCAGCAACUUGAAACAUUGAGUCUUAAAUAUUAUUUUAGUGGAUUUUUUCCAGCAAGUGCAAAAGCUUUUCCAGCAACGCUCAAGAAGCUGAAGUUGGAAAGAACGUUGCUAAGUUGGUUGUACUUGGACAUCAUAGCUGAAUUGCCUAACCUCGAGGUGCUGAAGCUGAUGGAUGGUACUUGUGUUGGAAAAAAAUGGUAUCCAAAUGUCAGGGCAUUUACUCGAUUGAAGCUUUUGUUAAUUGAAUAUAGUUUUCUCAAGUACUGGAAAGCCACAAAUGACAAUUUUCCUGUCCUUGAGCGCCUUGUGCUUAAAAACUGCCAUAAUUUGAAAGAGAUACCCAUUGAGUUUGCAGAAAUCCACACACUACAACUGAUUGAGUUAACAAGUUGUCUUCCCGAACUUGGGGAAUCUGCAGNNNNNNNNNNNNNNNNNNACUCUUUCUCAAUUCCACAAGUCAAGUUGUACACAAAAGUUAUUUAGCUUUGCUCCAUAUUCUUUCACAAAAUAACUUUGACAAAUUUGGUUAAAACCGUACUUAAAAUGUGAGAAAAAAUAACAAGAAUAUCCCUUAUAUUUGAGGGUAGUUCAAAAUGGCUCCUUAAAUAUAUUUUUGAGCAGUUUUGGUACUUUAGUUUUGUUAAAACUCAUGAGAAUACAUUAUGUAAAUAACUACUAAUCAGUUAGUUGGUACUGUUCCAUUGAUUUGUUAGCUAGUGUAUUAGGUGAUUAGUUAGUCGAAUCAGUUAGCUAGCUGUCAAGUUGAUUAGUGGCCCAAUCAAGUAGUAAGGAGGUUGUUAGGAAACUUCUAGAAGACCAUGUGUUGAUCAUGUGAGUCAAUAAAUAGGAGGUGAUCAUACAUUGUAUUGACUAACUUUUACUCUAAAACUGUAUUCCCAGUAACUUGUUCCCUUCUCUUAUCCCUUUGUUGAGCUCAAGCUCAGCUGUAAUGGCAGCAAUGUACGAAUGCUAAGAGGUGUUUUAACAUGGUAUCAGAGCCCGCGAUUAUGGGACUCAAGAAACAAGCUAUCGAGUAUAAAUGUAUCUGCAAUACAGUAAGUUUUGCCUGAGUUUUUGUUUGUGUGUUAGUGAGGUCAGAAGAACUUAGAUCUCUAUUUGUGAGCCAUAGAUCUAUAGUUGCAGGACAUAGAUUUCGAGUUUACUGUGUUGUUUUUGAUCCAAGAUUAGUUGUAAUCUAUAAAUUGGUUAUGGCACCUAAAAUUGAUUCUAGUGAUCCUCUGUUUCUGGGAGCAUCAGAUAUAGCAGGAGCUGCACUGAUUCCCAUCAAAUUAACUGGUUCAGAGAACUAUGGAAUUUGGUGUAGAUCUAUGAAGAUUGCCCUAUUGGGAAAGAGGAAAUAUAGAUUUGUAACUGGUACUUGUAGCAAGGAAAUAUAUAGAGAGGAGUUACAUGAUCAAUGGGAGACAUGUAAUGCAGUAGUACUCCCAUGGCUAAUGAGUUCAGUAAGUGCAGAAUUAUUCAGUGGUAUUGUAUAUGCAACAAAUGCUCAUGAAGUAUGGGUGGAUCUUAAGGAGAGAUUUGACAAGGUAAAUCACAUGAGACUAUACCAAUUACACAGGGAAAUCAAUAAUCUUCACCAAGGUACUGAUUCAGUUUCAACUUACUUUACUAAACUGAAGAACUUAUGGAGUAAACAUGAUGCAGUCAUACCAACUCCAUCAUGUAAUUGUCCUAAGUCGAAGGAGUAUGCAGAAUAUUUGUAUCAGUUAAGGCUAAUACAGUUCUUGAGUGGGUUAAAUGAUGCAUAUGAUAGGCAAAAAGACAAAUAUUGAUGAAAGGAAUAACACCUGCACUUAAUCAAGCAUAUGCAAUGAUCAGUGAGGAUGAAAUUCAAUAGCUUGCUUGUGCUACAACUAUUGGUGAUAAGACUGAACCUAUUGCUAUGCAAUUACACAGAAAAAAUGCAGAGGUUGGAAUGGAAGUAGGAAUCAAGCAUCAAUAAGUUUUGGAGGACAAGGCUAUAAAGGUAAAAGGUGUGAUUACUACAAUUUUACUGGGCAUACAAGGGAAAACUGCUACAAGUUCCAUGGAUAUCCAAGUGAUUGGAGGAACAAGAAAAGGGGAAUACCAAAUCAACCAUUUCAUAAUGGCCAAGGCAGAGCUGGUCAUGGAUAUGGACAUUCAAUUGCUGGUUACAACAACAGUCAGUCAUUAACUCAUAACAUCUCUGGUCCUUAAGCAGAGAACUCAUGCUUGGAUAAGCAAUCCAGUAGGUAGGGGGUAAAGACAUUAACAAUGCUACUUUGGCCAAGGGGGAAGGAUUAUCAGAGGAAGAAUACAAUCAGAUUAUAGCACUGAUUAACAAGGAAACACAUAACUCUGAACAGAACAACAUGACAGGUAAUGUUAGUUAUUUCUCUAGUCAUAUUAUUUCACAUGAUUGGAUAGUAGAUUCAGGAGCCACACACCAUGUAGCAGUACAUAAAGUUAUUUUCUCAUACUGUCACAAAGUGGAUAAUACCAUAUGUGACAAAGUUAAUCUGCCUACUGGAGCCAAGGUUGAAAUAACACAUAUAGGAGAAACACAGGUGCUGAAGGAUGAAGUUGUGGGGGAUGUACUGUAUGUUCCAGAUUUCAAACUGAACUUGUUCUUAGUAUCUAAAAUGACUAAGCAUCUUUCUUGCUUUGUUUCAUUUUACCCUGACUUCUGUGUGUUUCAGGACCUUCAUAGUGGCAAGGUGAAGGGGAUUGGUAAGGAGAAAGAAGGACUAUACAUCCUGAAGAAUGUGUGUGAAGUAAAUGGAACUCUUAACAAUAAGAAUCAUCAAAUAUAGGUUGCAGGAGUAGAAGUAGAAGUGCAGAUGCAUGGGUGUAGUCUAUGGCAUAAAAGGCUGGGACAUCCUUCUUCUCAAGCAUUAAAGAUUCUCAAUAUCAUAAGGCACAGUAGUGAUGUAGAUAUUCUAAAUAAGUGUCAUGUUUGUCCAUUAGCAAAACCAACUAGGCUAGUUUUUCCUAUCAUUACUUCCAAAGCUACAAGAUGUUUUGAUGUUGUACAUAUGGACCUCUGGGGUCCCUAUAAGACACCUACUUUUGACAAGAAAUACUAUUUCUUAACUGUUGUUGAUGAUCAUAGUAGUUAUACAUGGUUACAUCUAUUAUAACUAAAGUCUGAUUGCAUUGUAGCCAUAAAGAACUUCUUCACUAUGAUUUAGAAUCAGUUUGGUGUUCAGAUAAAGCUACUGAGGUCAGAUAAUAGGACAGAGUUCAUUAACUCUAAAUGCAAAGAGUUGUUUCAAUCCUUAGGAAUCAUAAAUCAAAGUAGAUAUCCAUACACACCACAACAAAAUAGUGUGGUUAAGAGAAAGCAUAGAUAGAUACUAAAUAUUGCAAGAGCAAUCAGGUUCCAGUCACAGAUGCCUAUUAGAUUUUGGGGGUUAAAUAUUAAAGCUGCUGUAUAUCUCAUUAACAUACUACCAUCUUCAUCCAUAGAAGGUAAAAGUCCUUAUGAGAUGUUGUUUUGCAAGGUUCCAUCCUUGACACAUCUAAGAGUGAUUGGAUGUAAAUUUUAUGCCUUAAUAUUGCCAAGAGGUGAUAAGCUUGUAGAAAGGGCCAAGAUUGCAGUAUUGAUGGGCUAUUCUGCAACUCAGAAAGGUUAUAAACUAUUAGACUGGUGUACUAAUAAGUUUUUUGUUACCAGAGAUGUAGUGUUCAAGGAAGAUUCAUUUCCUUUUAUAGAGGAGCCAAGUUCAGAAUCUUCUGUAGAAUUUCUUACACUAAGAUCUCCCACACAUGAUGAUGCAGAAGUAGAAGAAGAUGCAGACCGUCACACAGGUCCUAGUGAGCCUUUACACGAGUCACAAACUGAAGAUACAUCAAUACAUGAUCCUAAUGGCAUUUAAGAAGAAUACACUCAUAAUUUACAGAAUGUAGAAGAGUCACUCUCAGUACCCACAGAAGUUGAACUAAGAAGAUAAUUCAGAGCUACCAAACAACCUGUAUGGCUAAUGGAUUAUGCUUCACCAGGGAAGAGGAGAGGAAAUGGAUACCAACUUGCAAAUUACCUGUCUUAUGCUAAUACUAGUUCAAAAUAUCAAGAUUUUGUGUGCAGCUUGUCCGCAGAAGUUGAACCACAAUCUUAUAAUAAAGCUAGCAGAGAUAAGAGGUGGAUUGAAUCCAUGAAGUAGGAGGUUAAAGCUCUUGAAGAAAACCAUACAUGGGAAGUGGUUGAUAUGCCCUCAGAAAAGAACAUCAUUGGAUCAAAAUGGGUGUACAAAAUCAAGUAUAAGGCCAAUGAGGAAAUAGAGAGGUUUAAGGAAAGGUUGGUAGCCAAAGCUUAUAGUCAACUGGAAGAGCUAGACUACCAUGAUACAUUUUUUCCAGUAGCCAAAAUGGUUACAGUAAGGAGUGUCAUUGCCUUAGUAGUAUCAAAAGGGUGGUGCAUAUACCAGAUGGAUGUAUACAAUGCUUUCCUACAAGGUGACCUAGAUGAGGAGGUGUAUAUGGAAAUGCCAAAUGGUUUCAAGGAGGGAAGGCAACACAAAGUUUUCAGACUAAUUAAGUCUAUAAAUGGACUUAAGCAGGCAUCAAGGCAAUGGAAUAUCAAGCUGACUGCAGCAUUGCUCAGUGCAGGUUUUACCUAAAGCAUCUAUGAUUAUUCAUUAUUUACCCUGAAGAAGUCAGAAGGAAUAGUGGUGAUUUUAGUCUAUAUAGAUGAUCUUCUGAUAACUAGUGACAAUACAGACAUGAUCAAUGCAGUAAAAGGUACUUUGCACAAGCAAUUCAAGCUCAAAGAUCUAGGUGAACUUAAGUAUUUCCUAGGUAUUAAAGUGUUAAGAUCUGCCAGUGAAGUGAUUCUGAAUCAUAGAAAAUAUGUCUUGGAGCUCAUAUUCGAAACAGGUCUUGAUGGUGCCAAACCAGCCACCACCCCACUAGAGACUAAUGCUAAAAUAACUUCAGUUGAAGUAGAUAAAGCAGCAGGUGUGAAAGGAGAUGCCAUUCAAAGAGAUACAACAUCAUAUCAAAGGCUUGUUGGAAAACUGAUGUAUGCUACAAUAACAAGUCCUGACAUCAGUUAUGCAGUGCAGACACUAAGUGAAUUCAUCCAACAACCAAAGAAAUCCCACUUGGAAGCUGCAAACAGAGUGAUAAGAUAUUUGAAAGGAACUGUAGGACAAAGUAUAUGGCUUAAGACACAACCUACUGCAGAAUUGGUUUUUUGGUGUGACUCAGAUUAGGCUGCAUGUCCAAACACUAGGAGGUCUGUUACAGGUUAUGUGGUGUAGUUUGGUAGUUCAUUGAUAUCUUGGAAGUCUAAAAAGCAGCACACUGUCUCUAGAAGCUCAGCUGAGGCAGAAUAUAGGAGCAUGGCCUCAACAUUAGCAGAAGUGACAUGGUUGGAAGGUCUGUUCUCAGAACUGAGGGUGUCUAUCACUAAGCCUAUUGUCAUCUUUAGUGAUCAUAAGUCAGCCAUCCAACUAGCUGCUAACCCCAUAUUUCAUGAGAAAACCAAACACAUUGAAGUAGAUUGUCAUUUUAUUAGAGACAAGAUCAAAGAGGGGUUGGUUCAGCCCAUGUAUGUGCAGACAGGUCAACAAGUUGCAGACAUCCUUACUAAGGGUCUCAGUCAUGAUCAACAUUCAUACCUCCAUAGCAAGCUUGGUGUGCUCAAGAUUUUGCACCCUGCAGCUUGAGAGGGAGUGUUAAAACUCAUGAGAAUACAUUAUGAAAUAACUACUAAUCAGUUAGUUGGUACUGUUCCAUUGAUUUGUUAGCUAGUGGAUUAGGUGAUUAGUUAGUCGAAUCAGUUAGCCAGCUUUCAAGUUGAUUAGUGGGCCAAUCAAGUAGUUAGGAGGUUGUUAGGAAACUUCUAGAAGACCAUGUGUUAAUCAUGUGAGUCUAUAAAUAGGAGGUGAUCAUACAUUGUAUUGACUAACUUUUACUCAAAAACUGCAUUCCCAGUAACUUGUUCCCUUCUCUUAUCCCUUUGUUGAGCUCAAGCUCAGCUGCAAUGGCAGCAAUGUAUGAAUGCUAAGAGGUAUUUUAAUAGUAACCACCAUUUUUCUGCUUUUCGCUCGAGGACUAGACUUGGAUGAACCUCGUUAAAUACUUGUAUUAGGUUUUUUUGAGUUAAUGGCAAAAAACACAUUUGAACUAUCACCUGCCAUUAAAUUACAAUAAAAAUAAAAUGGAAAAUGAAUAGUAGAUGUUUGCUCUCUUUGUUUUCAUCUGCACACGAAUUUUAAGGUGCCGAUUGUAUAAAUUCUAGUAAAAUGAGGUUUACUUGGAUUCAACUCUUUUAUGAAAUAAUUGAAAUACUUUGUAUUAAUUUUAUCAAGGUAAGUAUAUAUUUAUGAAGGUUACACACUAUUUCUCAUUUCCACAAGUCACAUCAUACAGUGGUACAAUCACAUGAUGAUGAUGAUGAUGAAGAUUCAAAUGUUGAUGUUGCAGAACAUGAUGAUAAUUUAGAUCUUCGGUUGUUAUCUGUUCAGAAUAACCUGUAAUGAGAAUGGAAACUAUAGAUUAACAAUUUGAUACUGUUAUAGACUGUUGAUGCUAGUUCAUAACCCUAUGUUUUUCAUAAAUAUAAAUUUAUUACCAAUGUGGGACAAUUGGUUCAUAAAUUUUUACCCUCUUAUCAUUUCUCUAUUUUUCCAAUGUGGGACAAUUGGUUCAUAAUAGUAGCGUUAUUUAUUAGAUGUACGGGAAUGGGCAUUUAUAUGGUGAUUCUCUUGUCUUACUUUUUACUGUUGAUGUUAGGUACUUUUAACUGUUUGUAAAUGAAGCAUUACCAUCCGAAUUUGAGACUAUCGGGAAGCAGGUUAUAGACAAAUGUCAUCUCGAUUGUUGGGAUUUUGUCAAAAUCUAAAGACAUUGGAAGAUUCGAAAGAUGUCAAGUCAUUUGCAACAGAUGAUCCUGAUGAACAACGUUUACAUGUCUUCUGUUCUUUCGGAAUUUUUCAAAUAAGACAGUGAGAAUUCAGUGAAGAAAUUGGUGAGAUUAUGUAUAGAUAGGACACUGCACUCAUUCUGUUCUCUUUUUCCCUAUACAAGUUUAUGUUUUUUUCUCAUAAACUGUGAACCUUAAAUUCAGUUAUGCUAAUGACUUCAAAUGCAAGCAUUUAUAUCAGUCAUAUCCAUGCACCGAUACAUCAGAAAAGGAAACCGAGGUAGCAAAGACUAUUCAGUAGAUCGUGCAUAACCUAAGAACUUACUAAGAACUAGUUCAAUCUCUUAACUGAAUAACUCACUAAUUAAGUCGACACCUCUCGGUUCACUGACCUUAUCAAAAUGUAUGUUUUAGUUUUAAAAGCAAUUACUGAAAGCUCAUUUCGGAAUAUAUGUAAUAGCCCAAUAUAUAUUUUUAAAAUGAAGGAUUAAUUGGUAAUUUUAACCAAUUAUUAAUGUCAAUUAAGUGAAUUAAAUUGGGCAAGCCAAAAGCCGAAACCCUUUUUCUUCUUUAGUUUUUCCGUUACUGAAGGAUUAGAAUAUAAGGGUGUUUAGUUCCAUUAUUUUUGGUACAAAAAAAAAAAAAAAUUAGCACUAUGAGCUAGAAGUCUUUUUACUUUUGUUUGGGCCAUGGCGGCCAGUGCUCCUAAGAUCACAGAAGCAAUGCUGCAGAAAAAGAAGAUUUGUUGCACUGUAGCCCCAUAAGAACCAUAAAUAGAAACCCAUGAAAUAUUAGCAGAAAUAGAGAUUUUAGGCGCAAUUCAUAGGAUAUAUAUGAGUAAUUCAAAGGAAAUAUUGAAAUAUUUGAUAGGAUUGGUUAUGUUAGCAGAUAGAUUAAAGAUGUGAACACCGUAACUUCUCCUGCCAUAUGAAGGAACUCUUCUCUUAAGGCAUAACUUUUUGUGAGUUCAAAGACGGCAGAAACUGUUUCAAGUGAGAAGCAGUAGGUAUGUAGAAUUAGUUCUAAUUCAAAUUAGCACUAUGCUAUGGUAGUGGUAUUCUUGUCGAAGAAUUGUUAUGUAUUAUUCGAGAGAUGAUGGUCCAUCAUUAUGGGUAGCUUGAAUUAGUACGCAUCUUACAAAAUAGUAAAGUAUGGUCUCUGAUUUGUAUCUUUGAGCUACUGCUUGUUGGAAAUUGUUGGAAAUUAUUGAUUUUCACCUUGAAUUGCCUAUACAAAGUGGAGUAUUAAUAUUAUUGAACACGAGUAUGAUUUCAACUAGCAUAAUUGAUUUUAUUAAUUAAUAUAUUUGCUUAGAUUGAAGCCAUUGGAGUCUAUUUGGUUGAUGUUCUACGAGUUGCGAGGUUGGGAAAAGUGUUGUUAGCGAGGGUAGUGAGACUUCAAGCUUUGGUGCUUGCUUUUUAAAUCAGCUUUAUAAAAAAAUGUAUUUUUCUACCUAGUCCAUGUGUUGGGACAAGAGUGUUCUUGGUAGAAUUGGUGGUCUUUGAUCAACUGCGGAUAUAUAUUUUGUUAUGCAUAUUGAGAAUCAUUUGAUGGUGAGUUGUGAGGUGAUGUUGGGAUAUUGGAUAUAUUUACAAGGAGAAUAUAUGUGCUGACGUAAUAUAUUAGGGGCAUACCUAUGCUGCCGUAAUAUGUUAGGGGCCUUGUACUUGCUGUCAUGAUAUAUUUACUAGGGGCAUACAUGUGCUGCCGAAAUAUGAUAGAGGCAUACCUAUGCCGCCGUAAUAUGUUAGGGGUCUUGUACUUACUGUCGUAGUAUACUUUUGGGGCAUUAUAUAUGUUGUCGUGGACUUGUCGGGGUGCUAGGCUGAUCACCUUCACUGUCGUUUAUAAAAAGCCGUGAGAGUGGAUUGCGUUGAGAGAUACAUAGUGACUUUUGAAAUGUUUGUUGAACCUUAUUGAGCAUUAUAUUAUAAGAUAUAUGUUGUGCAUAUCAUUUAUGUAAUCGUUGUGCGUUGUAUUUUCUAAUACUUAUUUCAGGGGUAUUAAAUUAGCAGGUCGGGGAUCUUAGUAGGUUAUAUUUAUAUAUAGCUCACUCCUUACUUUACUUUCAUGUCUGCAGAUACUUUGUGGAAGGUGAGAUUAGUGGCUAAUGGUCCAUUUGUGAGGAUAUUAUGUUGCUGAGGUGAGUCUUCACAUUGUUCGGCGGGGCUGUCGUUUCAGAUCGAGCUAUUUUAGCUUAUAUUUCUCUUCAUUGGUUUGCAUGCCUGAGAGUUGAAAUUAUCUAUCUCUAUUUUAGAUGCUUCAUGAUCUUAGCGUGGAAUUUCGGCUAGAGAAUAAGUUCUCGAGUCCAUUGCGUUUUGCACCCUAAUGUAUGACCUCUUUUGUGAUUUACACCCUAAGCUCUUAUCUUUCUUGCAAAAUAAUGAAACUACUCUUUUUCUAUAUUUUGCACGAUGGCAAAAUUGCAAUAUGAAUAUAUUUUAAAAAAAAAUAGCAUAGAAUUAUUUUUAAAAAAAGUGCUAAAUUAACCAAUUAAAAGGUCCGAUUCAAUAAAUAAUUUUGUAAAUGUUCCUUCUAUGGGUGAAAUCUUAUUAUUAAAAUUUUAAUUAGUGAUAAAAUGGAUAAACGAUUUAUUCUGAGAACUAAAACAAUUAGGUCUCUCUUAUUACUAUUUUCACAUAGAAGAAGAGAACAAAUUUUGAAUUUGGUUAGAUUAAGAUCUUCUAUUGUAUCACUAUCGAUCAGUUAUUUUUAUGACUCAUCACUUUUUGUAUGAUAUUUAAUAUAAGCUCAUAUAAUUUUUUACUAAAAUGGAUGAAAGCUUAUAAGGUCAUUAAAACUUUAAUUAGGUAUCUCGAGUAUGGGAACUCCUGAAGCAGCUACGACUUCCUCAAGACCUCGUUAUGCGUGCACCUGCUGAUCAAACUUCUGUGUACAUCAAAGUUUUUUUAAUUCUUAGAUUAUCCAACAACAAAAAAAAAAUAAUCAUCAAUGCACUUUUAUAUGCAUCAAUAUUAUUCAUCUGGUUUAUAUAUGCAAUGUCAAAAGCUGCCAAGCGAAAAGUGGGUAUUUGAUUUGUAGUUUAGAAUUGUCAUCUGAGGUAAACUUUUAUGUGGUUUUGACAUAAAGCUUUCUGAGUUACCCAUAAUCUUUAGAGAGCUGGGAAGAAUGUUGAUCCCGUGAAAAUGACAUAGACAAUCAUUUUUUAUUUAACAGUUUCUCUAGUUUUGUGCCUUUUUUUAGGAGAAAAAAAUAUUUAUAUUUCAAUUUUGCCCUCGUGGAAAAUUUUUUAAAAGAGUAAGUUUCAUUAUUUUGCAAGAAAGAUAGAAGGUUAGGGUGCAAAUUAUAAAAUAAAAUAGGAUAGGGUGCAAAUCACAAAAGAGGUCAUACGUUAGGGUGCAAAACGCAAUGAACUCCUAGUUAUUGAUGCGUUAGAGUUGCACAUAUCUUAGUGCUUAUUAAUUGAAAAAGUGUAAGGAAAGUUGGUUGUCCCAACAGGUGGUAUUAGCGGGUGCUAGUCAGGUCUAGGAAUUAUUUUGGGACGUGACAAUAUAGCUAGAAGGAUUGAAAUUCAAGAUUUUACUGUUUGAACUUUAAAUUUUACUGUUACAAUACUAUGUUUUAGCAUUAUUCUCUAACUUCCAAGGAGAUGUAAUUUCUCUAUAUUUUAAAUAAGGGGGCAUCUAUUUCUCGACCGCUUUGAACUGUUUAUCUUUUGCCAAGGUUCUAACGGAAACAUCGUCUCUACCUCUGACGGUAAGGUUUGCGUAUACUCUACCCUCCCCAGAUCCUACUAUAUGUAUAAAGCACUACAUUUUGUAGAAAUAAAGGACCAUUCAUUAUAUUACAGGGGCCUUAGUGAACCUACUAUGUAAAGUUAAGGGACUGUUUGGGCUGAUAAAUUCUGCAGAUAUAAUUUCAGCCACUCAAAUGUUAUCUUGUUUAGGUACUUUUAUCUUUUGUUCUUUAUACAUUUGUUUAUUGUUACUCAUAAUAUUGUCAUUUAUUCUUUCCUUUUCUCAAAUACCUUUUUCAGUGAUUUUGAAGCUGUCAGAUCUGCCAUUGAAAGGUUAGUUUCCAUUAAUUAUUCUCUCAUUUUAUUAAAGUUUUAGAGUAAAAAACACUUGUAGUGGCUUAUCAAUGUAUAAUUUAGCUAUGUUUCUCCAACUCCUGAAAAAUAACCACAAUCUAUUUUGCGUACUGGGAGUUAAAUUAUUUUUACACGUUAAAUGAGCUAAAGCUAGGACUAAACUCACUGUUGUAACAUAACUGACCUGAACAUGAAACAGACUAAUAAAUCGCCUGAUCUUGUUUGGUUUAUGCUUUCCUUUUUUGCCAAUCUGCGUAUCGCGUUAUUUAUAAUACCAUUGACAUCUUGCAACCCUGCAGGUUUCAGGUCAUAACCGCAAACGAAAGAAACGAGAAUACAGUGGAUAUGGCUCAUGCAAGUGUGGCUUCUCUUAUGAGAACAAUAGAAUCGCUCUUGACGUCCAAUUCACCAAUGCAAACUCUAAUCUGUGAUCACAGAGACGAAAUUUGCGCUCUUCAUGAAAAGAUUAGUUCCCUGGAAGUAUUUCUCAAGAACUUUGAGAAAAACAAUGUUUCUGGGGAACUGACAGAUUUGGAAGUGCAGAUAAAAGAAGUUGCAAAUAUUGUUGAACAAACAAUUCAACUAAGAGUAACUGAAGUUGUAUUGAAAAGGCACAUGAGAGUAAAGGCACAUGACAGGCUUUCUGAUAGCCUGCAACAAGUAGCAGAGGAUAUUGAUCGUAUUUGGAAAGAGUCGACAAAUAUCCAGGAUAAGGGCAAACAUGCAUCAAAGGAAUCAACGGUUCAAGAGUUUCUAAGCUCAUCAAGAAAUAUUCUGAAUGUUGAGAAUAGUAUGGUUGGACGUGAUGAUCAAAGGAAAGAGUUGGUAGAAGAUCUUACUAGAAGCUACUGUGGUGAACCCAAAGUCAUCGCGAUUGUCGGGAUGGGUGGCAUAGGUAAAACAACCUUAGCGAACGAAGUUUACAAUGAUGCGUGCAUUCGUUCUCAUUUUGAUGUUUGUGCCUGGGCUACUAUUUCGCAACAGCACAAUGUAAAAAAAAUCUUGUUGAGCCUUCUGCGUUCUACUAAGAGUGAUUCAUUUGACAUGAACAAUGAAGCAGAGCUUGCGAAUAUGCUACAAAAGAGUUUAAAGGGUAAGAGAUAUUUAAUUGUAUUGGAUGACAUGUGGAAAACUGAAGCAUGGGAUGCCGUGAGACUAUGCUUUCCAAGUGAAAACAAGGGGAGUGGAAUAUUAUUGACGACCUGUAACAUUGAAGUAGCUCGCGAUGCUGGUACAGAGAAUCUUUCUGCAGAUGGAUUUAAUGGGUCCAGAUGAGAGUUGGAACCUUUUCAAAAGUGUUGCAUUUGCAAAUGAAGCAUUACCAUCUGAGUUUGAGACUAUUGGGAAGCAAAUUGCAGAGAAAUGUCACGGGUUACCACUAACUAUUGCCGUGGUUGCUGGGCUUCUCAAAUCUAAAAGGGUAGAAGACUGGGAAAAUGUUGCUAAAGAUGUCAAGUCAUUUGUCACAAAUGAUGUUGGAACGAUGUUCACGUGUGCUUAGGUUGAGUUACAAUCACUUGACUAGCGAUCUUGUCUAAUGCAUUUCGGAAUUUUUCCAGAAGACAGUGAGAUACCAGUGAAGAAUUUGAUGAGAUCAUGGAUGGCUGAGAGGUUCCUAAAGUUUGAAAAUGACUUGGAAGGAGAGGCUGAGAAGUGUUUGCAAGAGCUUGUCGAUAGAUGUCUAGUCCUCAUCUGCAAGAAAAGUCUAGAUGGAACAAAAAUUAGAUCAUGUAAAGUUCAUGAUCUAAUAUAUGACCUGUGCUUGAGAGAAAUUGAAAGGGAGAACAUUUUUAUCAUGAACGACAUUGUGCUUGAAUUUGAUUCAGGAUGGACAUAUCUCAGUUUGCGAGAAAUGAAGCUCUUUAAACGCGUGACUGGUGAUGAAAUUGAUUAUU
This 13688-nucleotide long non-coding RNA is filed under the name Capsicum annuum. RNAcentral describes it as "long non-coding RNA (CANN_LNC020214)". Lineage: Eukaryota; Viridiplantae; Streptophyta; Magnoliopsida; Solanales; Solanaceae. The record is from RNAcentral.